GGGGUGUGGGGGGUUGUGGGUUCGGGGCCGCUCGCUCCGUGCGGUGUUUGUAAUUCCUGAGCGCUCAGCCCGGCUCUGGGGAAUUUGCCCUUAUUUGGUCGCAGAGCGGCAGAAAUUUCGCCCUCCCUCCCUGAUACAGACACACACCUCCCUUCAACCUUCCCCCGACUGUCGGGACGGAACGCCCGCCAUCCCUCCCCCGCCGAGGCGACCCCCGAACUGUCAUGGCGGAACGCCUCCCCUCAGAGCUCCGCGCCUCCCGCUGAGGGAAAGUGCCUGAGGGAAAGUCCCGCCGAGUCCGUGUUUGGCCAUAUUUUCCCCGAACUUGGCGGGCUGACAGCACCCCCGCCCCGUGUCUGUCCCGGUACCCAAACUCAGAGAGUGACACCGGGUUCUCCCCUCCUGCCCCGGCACCAGAACUCGGGGAAUGGCACCGGCGGGGCUUUGGGGGCCCUGUUGAGGCGUGUUCCUGCGUGGUGACCAUUCUUGAACCGCCUCCAAAUUCUUGUCUGUUGUGCUAAUGUGAGAUGCCGUCACGCCUACGUUUAGCAAAAGCUAUGGAGCUAUUAACUCGGAGUUAGGAAAGUGCUUUGAUGAAAAUAUAUUAAACAUUAAAAUCCGCUGUGGUUCCUCCAAAUUAUGCCUCCUUACUCUGAGACAAACACUUCAAAAUAUUCCAGUUCUAGUAAGGAGGGCAAAACACCGUCCUGAGAUUUAUUUUUUUAUAUACGGGGAGUUUUAGUGAGUAGCUCCUUUUCAGCUCCUUUAAAAGUGUUGCUAAAAGUUUGCUAUCCAUAGACUUAAGGAGCUAAACGAGAGAAGGAUUAGUGUCGCUGUAUACUUAAAUUCUCUUUCAUUAGUUUUGUCCUCAUCCUUCACCAGUUUGCUACACCUGGCCUCAUAGAGAACGUGUUACAGCUUUUCCCAGAGUGAUUUGUAUUCACACAAUUAUUAGGCAGUAUAACUCCUGUUCAAAAACAUCCUUGUUUCCAUUAGUGUCUUUUUCAAAGCCUUUUUUACAAGACUUGAGAGUUCCACCUCUUCUGUGCAUUAUGUGUGUCAUUUUAAGAUGGAAGAGCCUGGAUUUCUGACCAUACGUAUUGUACGUGCUUAAAUAUUAUUCUUCCACGGAUCCUGGUAUUUUUUUUUCUUUUUCACACAGGUUCUGACCUUGGAGCAAUCCAAAAGAAGUCACUGGAAAAUGGGAACCAUCAGCUGUCCCUGCCUACAGGAGCUGUUCUGUAUAUCCUCAGGUGAAUGGGAAAAACACAGGAGCUGAUGAAGCAGGUGGUAACUUCACCCUGUUGCCAGGACUGUUAACAACUCAGGUAUAAGAUGGAAUUAAAUGAGAAUAAUAAGCAGAUUUGUAAGAGUAUUUUAUUAAAGAUACUGUUGCAAAGCACAGAAUAAGCUUUAAAGAUGAUGAUAACUAACCUGGAAUGUCUUUACUGAUACUCUGCAUAGACUGGAAUAGCUAAAUUACAGAACAGUUGCAGCCUGUUCUAGAUAUCCUACGCUUUGUAUACUGUUGAAGGCGAUGCUAUAAAUGUAUUCCCUUCUCUCCUCUGCUUUGUGGUGGUCCUACUCUUAAGGUCCUUCAUGUUUUCUAUAGAAAGGACAUCUCAUUUGCUCUCAGAUAUCUUGUGCCUUCUCCCUGAAGAGUCCCCAGAGCUAUCCAGCUUUGAUAUUCACCAUCCUCCCCUUCACUUCAUACAGCCACUGGGACUGAAGUGUCAGCAUUCCAGUGCUGCACUGGAGGCUUUUCAAAUACCUACAUUUAUGUUUAAGGUGUUAUGUGUUAAUAGGGCUGACACCUUCAACAUUUAUAUGCUGAAACACUGGGGGCUACUUAAUUAGAUUGAGCAACCACAUUCAAAGAUAUCUGAACAUCUUUUCUUGCAUUUGUAUAGUAACUUUAUAAACUCAAAAAGAGUAAAGCAAGCACAGACACAUGCCCUAUACAAGCUGCAAUACAGACAAUAUUGUACACACUUUGUAACAACAGUAAUGAAAAUGAUGCCAAUUAUAAAUAAAAUUAUAGACAGACUCCUCUUGAGAUAACAGUUAUAGUGAACAAUGAAACAUCCUUUUAUAAUCAUGAGUAGAAUUAGUAAGAUACGUAACUACAGCAGAAUAUAAUCAGCAUGUUUAGUCUGUUUACAUGUCUUAAUUUGAUCCACUGUUGUCUGAGGGGAAGCAGAAGAAAUUAUUUUUAUAAUUCAUGCUUGCCCUAAUUUGGAAAAUUUACUGCCUUAUUGCUUUUUUGGUUAAGGUUUUCCGCCUCCCCUCCAUUAAUUUAGCUGGAAACAUUAGCAUUCCUAAAAUGCUCAAAUCUGAACAUGAAUGCCUGAUUCUCCAAGCCAGCUUUUGCAAGGCUUAGCUCCAGAACAAGGUGCACCCUGUGCCCUGUGAAGAUUAUUUCACAUUUACUCAUCUCCUUGUUGGUAAAAAAUUUUCACCAUUCUUUUUAAAAGACCAGAGCACCAUUUCUUUACUCUCCACAUACAAGCACAGUGCUCCAUGGAAGGUCCUCUUCAGCUUGCAAAUGAUGAUCAUGGCAGCAGGGGAAAUCAAGUCAGCUGGAUCUCUCACCAUCCUGUCCUUCCUCAGGGACCCUCAGUCCUCAGUUUUUAAGAUUCCUUUUUUUCACCUCUUACUCUUUUUUUUUUUUUUUUUAAACACUUGAUAGUUUAGCAUUGUGCAUGAGUAUACGCUUGUAAUGUUUGAACUAAAAAAUCUACAGAGUUUUUGACAGCAACUCUAAGAAGCCUCAUUUCAAGAAAGGAGCACUCCAGCAUGUGAAUAGAAAUUUUGCAAAUUCAUUUCAGUGCAGCCCUUAACACCUGGCA
Molecule: non-coding RNA, 2849 nt
Organism: Cyanistes caeruleus (blue tit)
Lineage: Eukaryota; Metazoa; Chordata; Aves; Passeriformes; Paridae
Source: RefSeq, a predicted model, not a curated record